UCCGCAGGGGGUAUGUUAAGUCUGAUGUGAAAUCCCGGAGCUCAACUCCGGAACUGCAUUGGAAACUGACGUACUAGAGUGCUGGAGAGGUAAGCGGAAUUCCUGGUGUAGCGGUGGAAUGCGUAGAUAUCAGGAAGAACACCGAGAGCGAAGGCAGCUUACUGGACAGUAACUGACCCUCAGGGACGAAAGCGUGGGUAGCGAACAGGAUUAGAUACCCUGGUAGUCC
RNAcentral lists this ribosomal RNA (229 nucleotides) under uncultured bacterium. RNAcentral's name for it is "partial 16S ribosomal RNA". It matches the Rfam family "Bacterial small subunit ribosomal RNA", at positions 568 to 796 of the family's 1533-position model. The record is from RNAcentral.